Molecule: ribosomal RNA, 636 nt
Filed under: Triticum aestivum (bread wheat)
Lineage: Eukaryota; Viridiplantae; Streptophyta; Magnoliopsida; Poales; Poaceae
Description: partial small subunit ribosomal RNA
Source: RNAcentral
AUGGUGAUGGGAUACUCUCCCGCUGAGUCAGUGGCCAUCGCCAAUAGACUUAAUUGCCGCCUGGGCUCGUUCCCCACUACCUACCUUGGGACGCCCAUCAGUGACUCGCGCCUCUUGGCCGCCGAUCUUCGCCCCUCCGUGACCAAGCUCCAGACUAGAUGCGAGCCCUGGCAGGGGAGGUGGCUCUCCAAGGCGGCCCGGACUAUUCUUAUCAACUCCUCCCUCUCCAGCCUCCUCUUAUUUUGUAUGAGUUUCUACAGCCUCCACGAAUCUCUCCAUAAGGAGAUCGCCAAAAUCCAAUCCCGCUUCUAUUGGGCUGGUGAGCACGGCAAGCAGAAGUAUCACAUGGUCAGCUGGCCUGACAUCUGCAAGCCUCGGGAGCAGGGUGGAUUGGGGAUCAUGUGCUCUAAGCGGAUGAAUAUUGCCCUCCUAUCCCGGUGGCUGUGGCGCAUCUCGCAGGGUCAGGGUGGCCUAUGGCUGGACAUUAUCCGGAAUAAAUACCUGCGCGGCCAACCCCUUACCUUCUGCCAGAAGUCGGGAGGUUCUCAGUUCUGGCAGUCCCUCGUCCAGCUCCUCCCUGUGCUCCGCAUUGGUACCUCUAUCUCGGUAGGGUCCGGCCUCUCGACGCUCUUCUAG